This is a long non-coding RNA of Phacochoerus africanus (Common warthog), 2155 nucleotides long. RefSeq lists it as uncharacterized. The transcript is spliced from 2 exons. Lineage: Eukaryota; Metazoa; Chordata; Mammalia; Artiodactyla; Suidae. The record is from RefSeq and is a predicted model, not a curated record.
CUCUUUCAAUAAUAAUUGCUGUUUAUAAUUAGCAUAUAUAGUUAUACCACGGUGUGCUGAGGGUGCUGGAUGCCACUGUCUCAUGGAGGAGGUAACUGCCCCCACCCCCACCCCCUGGUGGCGGGGGCGCUUGGGUGAUCAGGCCUUAGAUUCCCUGAUGCUGGGUGUGUCCCUGGCCAGCCUGGACCUCCAGCCUGCCCCCCUCAGCCUCUGUGCUGCCAAGGAUCCCAGCUCAGGGCAGGGCAGGGCUUAUCCCUGUUUUCAGGACAUGCAAGAGGCAUGGCCCAGGUCACAUAGCUGCUGGGUGGCCUAGGCCCACUGGCCCCCGCUCCUUGCCUGGCAGAGGCAUCUUGGAAGCAGCACAGCCUGUGUGGGGCUUGCUAACGUGGGCCUUGCCCUGAGCUGGCGGCCCUCAGGGGCAGGAGCGCUGCUGGGGAUGCCUCAGGCUCCCCAAGGCUGUCCCUGCCCCUCCCUCUUUCCUACAGAGCUGACCUCCCGGAGCCUGGCCUGAGGGCUGCCUGUUCAGGGAACUCGCUCCAGGAAGUGGUUGCUGUUCCUGGGCUGGGCUGCAGGGCUGGAGGGUCAGCCUGUCUCAGAUACGACAGUGGAGAGGGGAGCUGGGCCCCGAGAAGGCCGAGCUCUCUCUCCUCAGUAGGGCCCUCACCCUGCCCCACGACAGCUCUUUGCUGCAGGGAACCUGCUCUUGGCAAUGACAUCCAUGUAACCCGCUUCCCAGAAGACAGGACAGUGAGGCUGGCAGACUCAGCCAGUACCUUAGUGGAAAAUGGGGCAGGAGCCCUCGCUCCAGCUUCUCUUGGGAAUCUGAGUGGGGAGGUGGCCCGAAGAUGCCUUGCUUACCUGGAUCAGAAAUAACCUCAACUCAGAGUUCCGUGGUGGCUUGGUGUAUUAAGGAUAUCCAGCGUUAUCCCUGAUGUGGCUUGCGCUCCGUCUCUGGCCUGGGAAUUUUUGCAUGCUGUGGCUGUGGCUGUGGCAGAGAGAGAGAGGGAAGGAAGGAAGGAAGGAGGGGCCUCGGCUCAACUAGAAGCCUGGAGCACUCAGGCUGAGGAUAGAGUUUUGAGCCCCUGGAGGUGAUGGGAGUGUGCCCAGGAGCCUGAUCGGGGCAGCCACGUAGCUGGCCCCUUCCCCUCUGAGCCUUGUUGCCUCGUUUCUUUAAUGGACAUAACGGUGCCCUGUAGGAGUUUGUGUACUUCCGAGGCCUAUUCUGCACAGACAGAAGUUGUGGCAUCCUCUUCCUCCCCUUCCACGGGGACACUCGGGGACAAGGCUGGCGUGGAGAGCGUGCUAGUUGCACCGCAUGCUCAGGAGCGAGUGGAGGUCUCCAGGUAUCGGAUGGUCUGCUGUCUGCGGGUCUCUCCAAGGAUGGCGUUUCCUCUGGCCUCCUCUCUGGCCCUCCCUCCCCAGCCAGACCCUGCUGGGAUGGAGGUUCUGGACUGCGAAGCCGCCCUCCCUGCCCCCUGGCCCUUCAUGCCUCUCUCGUCUGGCCCCCUGAGGCCUCUUUCCCCUCCUUACAAGUCAGGACUCCGUCAGCUCCUAGGCGUUCCCUCUGGGACUGGGCCAGAGCUCCUCCCUCCCCCGACAGCCUCCUUGGGGUGCAGACGGACGGCCCAGCAUAGGCAGGAAGGGCUUUCUGUUUGCCUUGGCUGCUGGAGAAGAGAUUUGUGCUCACUUUCUGUUUUGACUGUUGUAUCUGAACACGCAGAGCCGGCACUGAUGCAGAAAAGCAGCCUUGGGUCUUGAAUCUCCAUCUGGCCACAGCGGAGAUGUCUGGAGCAACUAAGGGAAAAGAGGCAUUCCCUUGUCAUGGGAGUUGCCAGGUUGAUGGAACUGCUGGUGGCCACUCCUGUUUUCCACUUGAAGACAAAGCCAACAAAGAGGAAAGAGCCAAGAGGUGGAGAAAGUAUGCUGUCCAGACAUCAAUAAACCCCUGGAUCCAGCCAUACCUGAACUUAACCGCACUUUUGGACAAACCUGAUUAUAUGAGCCAAUACUUUUCUUUUUUUCUAAAACCAUCCUGUGGUUUGGGUUUCUGUCAUAGAAAGGGUCCUAAUAAAGAAAUUUUUUUGUCUCAUUAAAAAAAAAAUCAGCUUUGAGAUAUACUUUAUCUGUAAUAAAGUUCACCCAUUUUAAGUAUCAA